RNAcentral lists this long non-coding RNA (398 nucleotides) under Androctonus crassicauda. Lineage: Eukaryota; Metazoa; Arthropoda; Arachnida; Scorpiones; Buthidae. The record is from RNAcentral.
GACUGAUUGAAUGCUGGUGUACAAUAUGCCAGACAUCACAUUGUGGAGGAAAACAAAGUAUGAAUCAUUGAUAUCGCAAUUCCAGGUGACAGUAGAAUUGAUGAAAAAUGACUGGAAAAAGGCUCACUAGAUAUGAAGACUUGAAAAUUGAACUUCAGUGGCUCUGGCAUAAACCAAUAAAGGUGGUCACAGUGGUUCUCAACACACUGGGUGAAGUGUCAAAAGACCUCAGCAGGCACUUGAAAACGAUUGGUAUUGAUAAAAUAUCCAUCUGCCAAUUUCAAAAAGCCACUUUACUAGGAUCUGCUUGCAUAAUCCAAAGAUACAUCACUCAGUCCUAAACACCUGGGAAAUGUUUGACUAGUGAUUAUUAAUACGAAUUCCAGCAUAAGUUACUC